AACGCUGGCGGCGUGCCUAACACAUGCAAGUCGAACGCGAAAGCCCCGCAAGGGGCAAGUAGAGUGGCAAACGGGUGAGUAACACGUGGGUGACCUGCCUUCGAGCGGGGGAUAACGUCCCGAAAGGGACGCUAAUACCGCAUGACAUCCGGUUUUUGAAGAAGCCGAGAUCAAAGCUGCGGAUCGCAAGACGUAGCACUCGAAGAGGGGCCCGCGCCUGAUUAGCUAGUUGGUGGGGUAACGGCUCACCAAGGCGACGAUCAGUAGCCGGCCUGAGAGGGCGGACGGCCACACUGGGACUGAGACACGGCCCAGACUCCUACGGGAGGCAGCAGUGGGGAAUUGUUCGCAAUGGGCGCAAGCCUGACGACGCAACGCCGCGUGGAGGACGAAGACCUUCGGGUCGUAAACUCCUUUCGAUCGAGACGAACGGCCUCCGGGUGAACAAUCCGGAGGAGUGACGGUACCGAGAGAAGAAGCCCCGGCUAACUCCGUGCCAGCAGCCGCGGUAAUACGGGGGGGGCAAGCGUUGUUCGGAAUUACUGGGCGUAAAGGGCUCGUAGGCGGCCAACUAAGUCAGACGUGAAAUCCCUCGGCUUAACCGGGGAACUGCGUCUGAUACUGGAUGGCUUGAGUUUGGGAGAGGGAUGCGGAAUUCCAGGUGUAGCGGUGAAAUGCGUAGAUAUCUGGAGGAACACCGGUGGCGAAGGCGGCAUCCUGGACCAACACUGACGCUGAGGAGCGAAAGCCAGGGGAGCAAACG
This 763-nucleotide ribosomal RNA is filed under the name uncultured Acidobacteriota bacterium. Its description in RNAcentral is "bacterial SSU rRNA". It matches the Rfam family "Bacterial small subunit ribosomal RNA", at positions 32 to 774 of the family's 1533-position model. The record is from RNAcentral. Lineage: Bacteria; Pseudomonadati; Acidobacteriota.